AUGAUUCAGAAGUUCAAUCGAGGCAAAACAGGAAAUCAAAAUCAACUGCUUCAAUCUAACAGUUUGGAUAAAGGUCUAAUUGCAGUCGAUUUUAAAUGGCUUCGUUGGGAUUGCAGAUUUCAAUUGAACUACUGUCUAGGUUUAUCUCCGGGUUCUCUAUAAUUCUUUCUUCUUUAUUGAACUUCUAAUCUUUGUAUCUGAACCAUGGCCUCAGUUUCCAUUCCAGGUUAGCUUUAUUGAUCAGUUUAUAGCAAACUAAUGAAUUGAAUAUUAGGUUGUCUUUGAUUGAUGUCAGAUUUGUCAGUGAGUCACUCAUGUGUGGACAAAUAUGAAUUUUUUGCUCUGUGUAUUCCAAAUAUGGACAAAUAUGGACAAAAGGGGGGAUGAAUGAGGAGACUGAUGGAAGAUCUAAGAAGACGUGAUGUUGAUCUAACUUUUCGUUUCCAACUUUUUAAUUAGGGCAAGGUGAAGGUUCUGUCAAGGAGACGAACCUCGUGAAUGAAACAGUCAGGUUUGCCAUGGAGUAUACUGAUGCAAGUCCUAUCGGUAAAAGAGUGUCGUGACAAUUUUUUUCUUUAGAAGUAUUUAUGAUAUGGGUAGCUGCAUAAUCUUAUAAUACCUGGUUGGUGUAAGUUAAACUUCUUGUUUAUUUUUCUCAUUUGUUGUAGAUGAGUAUGGGUGAAAACUCCAACAACGCAGCUGGGCUUCUACCAAAUCCUGUCGCUGAUCCUCAAACUGGAAUGCGGGUAGGAUUAAUAAACUCCAUACUACUCAUUCAUGGGCGUUCCUCGAAGUCAAUGUUAUUCCACAGUAUAAUCAACUGGUAAGGAAUCCAAACCUGAAGUGAUCGUUGGCAUCCGAGAUUCUGGAAGAUAUGCAGCUGAAUUGCCAGUUCAUUCAUAGUGUAUUGAGUACUGAUAUGGAAGCGCUUCAAAAUUUAACUGCUGAAUGUGAUUUGGAUUCAAAACAGGGGUCUGAUUAUGGUGAGAAAGAAGUGGUGGAGGGGAAUGUGUUAAUGUUGGAGUGGUUGGCUGGCUGGUUCUUGUGUGUGUCUGUGUUGGCGGUGGUACUCUUGUACCUGGAGGUUAGCUG
Papaver somniferum (opium poppy) is the source of this 1092-nucleotide long non-coding RNA. RefSeq lists it as uncharacterized. The transcript has 6 exons. NCBI's taxonomy places the organism in Eukaryota, Viridiplantae, Streptophyta, Magnoliopsida, Ranunculales, Papaveraceae. The record is from RefSeq and is a predicted model, not a curated record.